AGUUAACGCUGGCGGUAGGCCUAACACAUGCAAGUCGAACGGCAGCACAGUAAGAGCUUGCUCUUACGGGUGGCGAGUGGCGGACGGGUGAGGAAUACAUCGGUAUCUACUUUUUCGUGGGGGAUAACGUAGGGAAACUUACGCUAAUACCGCAUACGACCUACGGGUGAAAGCAGGGGAUCUUCGGACCUUGCGCGAUUGAAUGAGCCGAUGUCGGAUUAGCUGGUUGGCGGGGUAAAGGCCCACCUAGGCGACGAUCCGUAGCUGGUGUGAGCGGAGGAUCGGCCACACUGGAGCUGAGACACGGUCCAGACGCCUGCGGGAGGCAGCAGUCGGGAAUAUUGGACAAUGGGGGGAAGCCUGAUCCAGCCAUACCGCGUCGGUGGAGAAGGCCUUCGGGUUGUAAAGACGUUUUGUUGGGAAAGAAAAGCAGCAGGUUAAUACCCCGCUGUUCUGACGGUACCCAAAGAAUAAGCACCGGCUAACUUCGUG
RNAcentral lists this ribosomal RNA (492 nucleotides) under uncultured bacterium. RNAcentral's name for it is "partial 16S ribosomal RNA". It matches the Rfam family "Bacterial small subunit ribosomal RNA", at positions 29 to 507 of the family's 1533-position model. The record is from RNAcentral.